GAUGAACGCUGGCGGCGUGCCUAAUACAUGCAAGUCGAGCGAACAGACGAGGAGCUUGCUCCUCUGACGUUAGCGGCGGACGGGUGAGUAACACGUGGAUAACCUACCUAUAAGACUGGGAUAACUUCGGGAAACCGGAGCUAAUACCGGAUAAUAUAUUGAACCGCAUGGUUCAAUAGUGAAAGACGGUUUUGCUGUCCCUUAUAGAUGGAUCCGCGCCGCAUUAGCUAGUUGGUAAGGUAACGGCUUACCAAGGCAACGAUGCGUAGCCGACCUGAGAGGGUGAUCGGCCACACUGGAACUGAGACACGGUCCAGACUCCUACGGGAGGCAGCAGUAGGGAAUCUUCCGCAAUGGGCGAAAGCCUGACGGAGCAACGCCGCGUGAGUGAUGAAGGUCUUCGGAUCGUAAAACUCUGUUAGUAGGGAAGAACAAAUGUGUAAGUAACUAUGCACGUCUUGACGGUACCUAAUCAGAAAGCCCCGGCUAACUACGUG
Molecule: ribosomal RNA, 497 nt
Filed under: uncultured bacterium
Lineage: Bacteria
Description: partial 16S ribosomal RNA
Rfam family: Bacterial small subunit ribosomal RNA
Source: RNAcentral